This 765-nucleotide long non-coding RNA is filed under the name Rhinopithecus bieti (black snub-nosed monkey). Its description in RNAcentral is "lncRNA (ENSRBIG00000045363.1)". Lineage: Eukaryota; Metazoa; Chordata; Mammalia; Primates; Cercopithecidae. The record is from RNAcentral.
AGGCACACCAGCUGCAGGGUUAUGCCUGAUUCCUGCACAGGUCAUUUAUUUGUUGGCAUUAGCAAGAUUUGAAUUAGACACUGAACUAGAUGAAGACUCAGAUUGUUUGUGAUAACUGUCAACAGUAGCUGCAAGAAGAUGCCAACAGCUGUCAUAAGAAGUGGAGCAGCACUGGAGUUCAGCACUGAACUAAGGUCGGCCCCGCCCUCCGGCACAGCCUGCACCAGCUCAAUGGCAUGAAUCAGCCAGGUGUCCUGGAGGGCCUGAGAGGGACCAUGGUGAUGAUGAGAUCGGGAGAAGAAAGUCAGAUUGGAGCAUACUCGCCCCAUGGAGAGGACAAAUUGGAUUCAUGACCAGACCUCCGAGAGGCUGCGUCUCCAGGCAGCUGGUGGGGAGCUGUCUGGAAACAAACACAUUUUCCAGCUCGCUCGACCCUCACAUUUCCAGAGCAGAAGGAUGGCUAUGAUGUGAGCUCAGAUUAUGUGCAGUGGUUGCUUAAAACUUGGUGGGUCCAAUGGAGAUGGAGCCAUGUCAUCCUGUUCGUCACCUUCAGGGUGUCCCGCAGCACAGUGUGGUGCGCGCACCUGUCUGCGUUCACCGUAAGUCAUCGCUGCACCUGCAUCCUGUGGCCUUUAUGCGAUAGUGAUCAUAAUGGUAUAAGAAGCAUGCUGUGAUGUUGAGUCAAUUGGUUGCCCAAUCAUAGACAUCUUUCACCAACAGAGUAACAGGUAAGAAAAGGACCAUUUUAAUAUGUUGCACCAAUUG